AGAUUGAACGCUGGCGGCAGGCCUAACACAUGCAAGUCGAGCGGCAGCACGGGUACUUGUACCUGGUGGCGAGCGGCGGACGGGUGAGUAAUGCCUAGGAAUCUGCCUGAUAGUGGGGGAUAACGUUCGGAAACGGACGCUAAUACCGCAUACGUCCUACGGGAGAAAGUGGGGGAUCCUUCGGACCCCACGCUAUCAGAUGAGCCUAGGUCGGAUUAGCUAGUUGGUA
RNAcentral lists this ribosomal RNA (229 nucleotides) under uncultured soil bacterium. Its description in RNAcentral is "partial 16S ribosomal RNA". It matches the Rfam family "Bacterial small subunit ribosomal RNA", at positions 26 to 254 of the family's 1533-position model. The record is from RNAcentral.